AUGGGUUCGGUACGCGCGCAAAUCGCGCUUCUCUUGAUCGGCCACGGGUUCUUGUGCGUUUUCGUGGACCGCGGCCAGGCCCAGGGCGGACAGAACUACGGCCAGAAUCAAGGUCAACAACAGGGUCAACAGAAUAUGGGAACCACUGCAAACUGCCCUCUGUUCGUGAUCCCCGGGCGGGUCAACAAUCCAGGGGUGGCGUCCGGCGGGAAGAUCAUCAUGUACCAGGAGCCGUGCAAGGGGUUCAGCCCUCACAAGGGAUCGCACAAGAACUCGGGGCGCCGCGAGGGCUGCCGCAAGGCCGCCUACCUCCUGAACAAGGUGGCCCACCGCAACGACUGCCCCAUCAUCGUCCACGGCCAGUGCAUCUACGUCAACGCCACCAACACCGCCAGCUGCUACGCCCUCGUCAGAUGGCCUGACGGAGCUUUCGCCCUCCGCCUCCUACAGGAUUGCGCCGACGGGCGCAUGCCACAAAACAACUUCUACCGCGGCCAAUUUGGACCCGGUGGGGCUUAUCCGCCAUUGGGUCAGUUAGGGCCGCCCAACGGUUACGGCCAAAUGCAGGGCCCUCAAACGGGACAAUCAAGCCCGGCAGGCCAAGGCUGAUUUGGACUUGGAUGGAUAUGGCCGAUUAUUGUUUACUCUAUCACAAUCAGGAACAUCUAUCUUAGACUUAAGGCUUUAAGGUGACUCGAUGGACGCUAUAUUUUGUGUCCGAACGACAUGCGAUAUGUUCCAUUUUUUCAACUAUUCGUCAUGUUUCUCAAAAAUUGAGAUGACAAUUCUGAUGUGAGGAGACUAAAGAAUGCUCGUAACAAUUCUUACAAACAAAUUCAAAGUAAUGAAGACGUGAUUUUUUUCAGAGGAUAAAUAUCGCAUUCGAUACUAAUAUCGAAACUGCACACGAAUGUUACAUUUUUCCUCGAAAAAAAAAACCACUCCUUCAUAACAUUGAAUUUAUCAGCUACGAUUGGUAAAUGGAUUCUUUGUUCUCCUGCCGACAGAAUUGCGAUCUCAGAAUUCGAGAAAAAUGACGAGUAGCUGAAAAAAUGGAACUGAUCGAUGCGAUACAUCGCAUGUCGUUCUGACACAAAAUAUGGCGUCCAUCGAAGCUCUUUUAAUUAUUUGAACUGAGCUUCGGGUAAUCCGAACUCCUUUCUGGGACAGCUAGCGGAUAAAAUGUCCCUAACACAAGGCCAGUUUGGUAGCAUCCGUAAAUCACUAAAGCGCCUUUGAUACACACUGAAAAAAAGUAUACUAUUAAUACGGCGGUGCCGCCGUGGACCAAGUAACCGUUUACUCAAAAAGUAUCGACAAGUGACGAAAUUUUGUUCCAACAGAACAGAGUUCGAUUGAAUCAGGUACACGCGUUAUCUCAAACUAGCACUCCCCGUGUAUUUGGAGUGGGAACACGUUUACUUAAAAAUAGUAACUUCCGAGACGCGAAAAUAUUUACUGAUAUUAAGUAUUUGCCUUCGGUUUAAAAGGAGUACCUGUGAUCUUGAUCUAAGUCAACCGUUUACUUAAAAUCAGAAAACGGUUGCGUGACUGAAGAGCGCAUUAACUGGUUACAGGCUGACGGUUGCUUUAAAAUUAGUAAACGGCCGAGCGUCUGGCCGGAAUAGGUUUUUCCCAGGCGCGUUUACUUAUUUCUAGCCAACUGUUGUUUUAAAUUUAGUAAAUAGUCACUGCAGGUAUCCACACUGCACCCAUACCAUAUAUAUUAUUAUUAAUCAAUAAUUGCAAAAAAUGAAUUAAUUUAUCGAAUUUUUUAUGAAAAAAUUAUUCAAUUGCAUAUCUGCAAGUGUCGAAGACUCGACAUGGCAAGUAUCAACUUGCAAAUUUUGACCUACCUAUCGUGAUUUGGACCUGGGACCUGCAGUUUACGAACCUAACACCCUACCUACUUAGCCAUCGGGGCUUAUGUCUCCGUCGGGCGAAUUUACAGUAUAUAAGUCAUUGACUUAGGCUCUCACCAUUAUUGUGAUAGUGAAUAUGCGUGAGACCUGAUGGGGUUUAAAAUUUUUUGAACCCGAGAAGAUGAAUUUGGAGCAAAAAAGGAAUACGCGUGUUACUGUCGUCACUUUUUUUAUGUUUAUAUUUUUUUUCUUUCCCAUCGUAUAUUAAUUUUUAAUCUUUUUAAAAAGAAUUUAAUACAGUUUACCUGUUUUAAAAUUUUCUCUCUUCAUUUUUUCUUGAAGGAUCGCCGACUUUAAAAAAAUAAGAGUAAAGAAUGAAACUCUUCGAAAAUGUUUGUAACAUAAUAACUUUUUAUUUUUGAUGACUGAAAUUGUUACAUUUUUUAAGUAUAAAUAGUCCUAUUCAAUUCGACUAUAAUAUUCAAGACUAUUCUGGACCAUUUAUUAGACUUUUCUAUUUCAAUUAGAACAUGAAUAGUUCUAUUCAAUAGUUCUAAUUAAUUCACAUCGGGCGGAAAAGGAAGAAUGUGAGCACUAUAAAAGAAACAUUAAUACUUCUAAUUCCUUACUUUAAAAAAUAAGAUUUGAAAAAUAAGCUUUGAGAUUUUCUGGAUUAAGGCAUCUUUUUCCGUAUACAGUCACAACCUAUUCAUAAAAAAAGUUCAAUCUUCUAUUACUUUUAUAUUUUACUCAGUUUACAUAAUCGCACGCGUGACGUUUUAAAAUUUUAUUGUACAGGGUGUCCGGAAGUUAACGUAUUUAAUUCUCAGGGACGAUUUUUCGGCUCAAAAUAUGACUUUUUUUUCCUAUACACAUAUGCCCGAAAACGCUUCAUAAGUGAGCUAUGCGCAUCCAAAGUUGCCAUUUUUUUUCUUUCAAAUUUAUGUAACUCCUCGUUAUUUUGUCGUAAGUAGCUGAAACUUGGUGUAGGAGGGUAUUUUUUAGCGCACUGUUCAUUUUUUGUGUUCUCAAGAACGUACAUCUUCGGGAAAUGAGGUAACGAGCAUUCCCGAAUUUUAAAAUUGCCAUAACUUUUUUGGUAGAUGAUAUUUGGAAAAACGGAUAGCACCACGUGAAAGAGCGCGAAAAAUCAGGGCCUCAAAGUGCUGCACAAAAUUUUCCAGAAACGCGUCAUUUCGACGCAACAGAGCUUCGAAAAAGUUUCAAAUUUUCGAAGCUCCUUGCUGAAUAGGCAAUUUUAACUGUAAGGACUUAAGGAAAUUGCCUACUGAGCAAGGGGCUUCGGAAAUCCCGAACUUGUCGUGACUGAUUUAUCCUCCAAAGUUUUGUAGCCCCUUCCUUUGUAGGCAAUUUCCUUCAGUCCCUGCAGUUAAAAUUGCCUUCUCAGCAAGGAGCUUCGAAAAUUUGAAACUUUUUCGAAGCUUUGUUGCGUCGAAAUGACGCGUUUCUGGAAAAUUUUGUGCAGCACCAUGAGGCCUUAAUUUUCGAGCUCUUUCACGUGGUGCAAUCCGUUUUUCCAAAUAUCAUCUACCAAAAAGUUAUGGCAAUUUUAAAAUUCGGGAAUGCUCGUUACCUCAUUUCCCGAAGAUGUACGUCCUUGAAAACACGAAAAAUGAUCAGUGCGCUAAAAAAUACCCUCCUACACCAAGUUUCAGCUACUUACGACAAAAUAACGAGGAGUUACAUUAAUUUGAAAGAAAAAAAUGUCAACUUUGGAUGCGCAUAGCUCACUUAUGAAGCGUUUCCGGGCAUAUGUGUAUGGGAAAAAAAGUCAUAUUUUGAGCCGAAAAAUCGUCCCUGAAAGUUAAAUACGUUAACUUCCGGACACCCUGUAUAGCUGCACUUCCUUUUCUUUACACUCUCUAAAGUUGAUAGGAAGGUGGUAAAGAAGUGCUGGAUCCACCCUAUUUUGCAGGGAAACAAGGUGAAAAGGUUCAAAUACUUCAUUUACAGUAAAAAAUGUUGAGAUCUUAUGAGUAUCCGUACAAUACUA
This 3876-nucleotide long non-coding RNA is filed under the name Bemisia tabaci. RNAcentral describes it as "lncRNA ENSSSA1NGG000057". Lineage: Eukaryota; Metazoa; Arthropoda; Insecta; Hemiptera; Aleyrodidae. The record is from RNAcentral.